Molecule: ribosomal RNA, 510 nt
Filed under: uncultured bacterium
Lineage: Bacteria
Description: partial 16S ribosomal RNA
Rfam family: Bacterial small subunit ribosomal RNA
Source: RNAcentral
GACGAACGCUGGCGGCGUGCUUAACACAUGCGAGUCGAACGAAGAGCGAUGGAAGCUUGCUUCUAUCAAUCUUAGUGGCGAACGGGUGAGUAACGCGUAAUCAACCUGCCCUUCAGAGGGGGACAACAGUUGGAAACGACUGCUAAUACCGCAUACGAUCUAAUCUCGGCAUCGAGGAAAGAUGAAAGGUGGCCUCUAUUUAUAAGCUAUCACUGAAGGAGGGGAUUGCGUCUGAUUAGCUAGUUGGAGGGGUAACGGCCCACCAAGGCGAUGAUCAGUAGCCGGUCUGAGAGGAUGAACGGCCACAUUGGGACUGAGACACGGCCCAGACUCCUACGGGAGGCAGCAGUGGGGAAUCUUCCGCAAUGGACGAAAGUCUGACGGAGCAACGCCGCGUGAGUGAUGACGGCCUUCGGGUUGUAAAGCUCUGUUAAUCGGGACGAAAGGCCUUCUUGCGAACAGUUAGAAGGAUUGACGGUACCGGAAUAGAAAGCCACGGCUAACUACGUG